AUCAACAAACUCGAAGUAUCACAUCCUUUUAGCUGUAAACACUGGGCUAAGGAAGGGCCAGUGACUUUCAGAAGAUGAAGACGGGUAGAAAAUUCUGCCAGGACUGCGUGAGACCCCAGAGUUAAAGUCCCGUGGGAGUUUCUAACCGCUCAGCUGGAGGCAGCCCACCCGGUCCAUAGGCAAAGCACAGGAAUCGCCACGAUGAUCUCACAACCCACAACCAAGGAGAACAUUAUAGUUCUCACACCAAGUGGUAUCAACUUCCUCGAAACAGAGAAAUCUAAACCCACCAACCAGAAGCAAGACAGUGUGAAGAAAUGUCUAAAGGCAGAGGUCAAAGUUCUUGCGACUAUCCAGAUCAUGUGUGGCGUGAUGAUAUUGGGUCUGGGAAUCAUGUUGGCCUCUGCUUCCUUCUCUCCGUAUUUCACCCACAUGUUUUCCAUCCUGGUGAAUGCUGCUUACCCAUUCGUAGGAGCCUUUUCCGUGAGUAGAGAUCCUCAGGAGGCCAAGAUGGGGUGGAGUUCAUCCUUUCUGGAUCACUCUCAAUCAUCACAGAGAAGAAAUCAACUAAGCUGUUGGCUCAGAGCACCCUGGCUGCAAACGUUCUGAGUUCUCUAUCUGCUCUAUCGGGAUUCAUUUUCCUCUCUGUCAGACUGGCUGCUUUGGAUCCUGCCUUUCAGACGUGUAAAUUAAAUGAAAGAUCACCUCAUCCUUAUUUUUCUUUAUUUCAACCGUUUCAACAAGACUGCUCCAUGGCUAAAUCUAUUCUGGCUGGAACUAUGUCUAUGAUACUGAUUUGUACAGUGCUGGAGUUCUUUCUAGCUGUGCUCUCUGCUGUGGUUUGGUGGAAACAGUCUUACUCUGAUUUCCCUGGGGGUGUGCUCUUCCUGCCUCAGAAUCACAAGAAUAAAUCCAGCAUGUCUCCAAAGGCGCCUCAUGACCCUGAUUAUGAAGAACUAUUGGCUUCUUAGAGGGAAAUAGUCAUCAGAAAUUUGGUUUGAUGAUGAUAUAUGAAAACCAACCAAGAAACCCAGCCCAAGAAAGCAAAGUUUGAGCUGCUUGAAAUGUAGGCUUUUAUGUAGUGAGUAUUAAAAAAGAAAAUGUUUUCUUAUCAUCA
Sus scrofa (pig) is the source of this 1117-nucleotide RNA transcript. It is a transcript of the gene named membrane-spanning 4-domains subfamily A member 6A, with no coding region annotated. The record is from RefSeq and is a predicted model, not a curated record. NCBI's taxonomy places the organism in Eukaryota, Metazoa, Chordata, Mammalia, Artiodactyla, Suidae.